GUCGAGCGGUAACAGGGAGCUUGGUCCGCUGACGAGUGGCGAACGGGUGAGUAAUGCAUCUGAACGUACCCCCUCGUGGGGGAUAACGUAUCCAAAGUUACGCUAAUACCGCAUACAUCCUGAGGGAGAAAGCGGGGGACCGAAUGGCCUCGCGCGAUUGGAGCGGCCUAUGUCUGAAUACCUAGUUGGUAGGGUAAAGGCCUACCAAGGCGACGAUCCGUAGCGGGUCUGAGAGGAUGAUCCGCCACACUGGGACUGAGACACGGCCCAGACUCCUACCGGAGGCAGCAGUGGGGAAUUUUGGACAAUGGGCGCAAGCCUGAUCCAGCCAUGCCGCGUGAGUGAAGAAGGCCUUCGGGUUGUAAAGCUCUUUCAUGUGGAAAGAAAACGCAGGGGUAAAUACCCUGUGUGGAUGACGGUAC
This 422-nucleotide ribosomal RNA is filed under the name Betaproteobacteria bacterium. Its description in RNAcentral is "bacterial SSU rRNA". It matches the Rfam family "Bacterial small subunit ribosomal RNA", at positions 61 to 478 of the family's 1533-position model. The record is from RNAcentral. Lineage: Bacteria; Pseudomonadati; Pseudomonadota; Betaproteobacteria.